GCCGCGAUGGCGGAAUUGGUAGACGCGCUAGGUUCAGGACCUAGUAGGUGCAAGCCUGUGGGGGUUCGAGUCCCUUUCGCGGCA
This 84-nucleotide transfer RNA is filed under the name Spirochaetota bacterium. Its description in RNAcentral is "Spirochaetes bacterium tRNA-Leu". It matches the Rfam family "tRNA". From Rfam's summary of the family: Transfer RNA (tRNA) molecules are approximately 80 nucleotides in length. Their secondary structure includes four short double-helical elements and three loops (D, anti-codon, and T loops). Further hydrogen bonds mediate the characteristic L-shaped molecular structure. tRNAs have two regions of fundamental functional importance: the anti-codon, which is responsible for specific mRNA codon recognition, and the 3' end, to which the tRNAs corresponding amino acid is attached (by aminoacyl-tRNA synthetases). tRNAs cope with the degeneracy of the genetic code in two manners: having more than one tRNA (with a specific anti-codon) for a particular amino acid; and 'wobble' base-pairing, i.e. permitting non-standard base-pairing at the 3rd anti-codon position. Lineage: Bacteria; Pseudomonadati; Spirochaetota. The record is from RNAcentral.